Molecule: ribosomal RNA, 718 nt
Filed under: uncultured Pseudomonadota bacterium
Lineage: Bacteria; Pseudomonadati; Pseudomonadota
Description: bacterial SSU rRNA
Rfam family: Bacterial small subunit ribosomal RNA
Source: RNAcentral
CGAGCGGUAACAGAUCCAGCUUGCUGGAUGCUGACGAGCGGCGGACGGGUGAGUAACGCAUAGGAAUCUACCCGGUAGUGGGGGAUAACCUGGGGAAACCCAGGCUAAUACCGCAUACGUCCUACGGGAGAAAGGGGGCUUUGGCUCCCGCUAUCGGAUGAGCCUAUGCCGGAUUAGCUGGUUGGUGAGGUAAUGGCUCACCAAGGCGACGAUCCGUAGCUGGUCUGAGAGGAUGAUCAGCCACAUCGGGACUGAGACACGGCCCGAACUCCUACGGGAGGCAGCAGUGGGGAAUAUUGGACAAUGGGCGCAAGCCUGAUCCAGCCAUGCCGCGUGUGUGAAGAAGGCCCUCGGGUUGUAAAGCACUUUCAGCGAGGAAGAACGCCUGGCGGUUAAUACCCGCCAGGAAAGACAUCACUCGCAGAAGAAGCACCGGCUAACUCCGUGCCAGCAGCCGCGGUAAUACGGAGGGUGCAAGCGUUAAUCGGAAUUACUGGGCGUAAAGCGCGCGUAGGUGGCUUGAUAAGCCGGUUGUGAAAGCCCCGGGCUCAACCUGGGAACGGCAUCCGGAACUGUCAGGCUAGAGUGCAGGAGAGGAAGGUAGAAUUCCCGGUGUAGCGGUGAAAUGCGUAGAGAUCGGGAGGAAUACCAGUGGCGAAGGCGGCCUUCUGGACUGACACUGACACUGAGGUGCGAAAGCGUGGGUAGCAAACAGGAU